GCCCUGGUAGUGCAGUCCGGCCUAACAUAAGCGGCUGUCGCCCGCUUGACCCGGGUUCAAAUCCCGGCCAGGGCGCCA
RNAcentral lists this transfer RNA (78 nucleotides) under Candidatus Bathyarchaeota archaeon. RNAcentral's name for it is "tRNA-Asp". It matches the Rfam family "tRNA". From Rfam's summary of the family: Transfer RNA (tRNA) molecules are approximately 80 nucleotides in length. Their secondary structure includes four short double-helical elements and three loops (D, anti-codon, and T loops). Further hydrogen bonds mediate the characteristic L-shaped molecular structure. tRNAs have two regions of fundamental functional importance: the anti-codon, which is responsible for specific mRNA codon recognition, and the 3' end, to which the tRNAs corresponding amino acid is attached (by aminoacyl-tRNA synthetases). tRNAs cope with the degeneracy of the genetic code in two manners: having more than one tRNA (with a specific anti-codon) for a particular amino acid; and 'wobble' base-pairing, i.e. permitting non-standard base-pairing at the 3rd anti-codon position. The record is from RNAcentral. Lineage: Archaea; Thermoproteati; Candidatus Bathyarchaeota.